CAGUAGCCGCGGGAAUACGUAGGGUGCGAGCGUUGUCCGGAAUUACUGGGCGUAAAGAGUUCGUAGGCGGUUUGUCGCGUCGUUUGUGAAAACCCGGGGCUCAACUUCGGGCUUGCAGGCGAUACGGGCAGACUUGAGUGUUUCAGGGGAGACUGGAAUUCCUGGUGUAGCGGUGAAAUGCGCAGAUAUCAGGAGGAACACCGGUGGCGAAGGCGGGUCUCUGGGAAACAACUGACGCUGAGGAACGAAAGCGUGGGUAGCAAACAGGAUUAGAUACCCGUGUAGUCCCUGUCUCUUAUAC
Molecule: ribosomal RNA, 301 nt
Filed under: uncultured bacterium
Lineage: Bacteria
Description: partial 16S ribosomal RNA
Rfam family: Bacterial small subunit ribosomal RNA
Source: RNAcentral